This 253-nucleotide ribosomal RNA is filed under the name uncultured bacterium. Its description in RNAcentral is "partial 16S ribosomal RNA". It matches the Rfam family "Bacterial small subunit ribosomal RNA", at positions 524 to 776 of the family's 1533-position model. The record is from RNAcentral.
GACGAACCGUGCGAACGUUGUUCGGAAUCACUGGGCUUAAAGGGCGCGUAGGCGGGUUUUCCAGUCCGAGGUGAAAGCCUUCAGCUUAACUGGAGAAGAGCCUCGGAUACUGGGAAUCUAGAGGGAGGUAGGGGGCCGUGGAACUUCCGGUGGAGCGGUGAAAUGCGUAGAUAUUGGAAGGAACGCCGGUGGCGAAAGCGAACGCCUGGAUCUCUUCUGACGCUGAGGCGCGAAAGCUAGGGGAGCAAACGGG